Molecule: ribosomal RNA, 413 nt
Filed under: Salmonella enterica subsp. arizonae serovar 63:g,z51:- str. So 20/20
Lineage: Bacteria; Pseudomonadati; Pseudomonadota; Gammaproteobacteria; Enterobacterales; Enterobacteriaceae
Description: bacterial SSU rRNA
Rfam family: Bacterial small subunit ribosomal RNA
Source: RNAcentral
UUAAAUUGAAGAGUUUGAUCAUGGCUCAGAUUGAACGCUGGCGGCAGGCCUAACACAUGCAAGUCGAACGGUAACAGGAAGCAGCUUGCUGCUUCGCUGACGAGUGGCGGACGGGUGAGUAAUGUCUGGGAAACUGCCUGAUGGAGGGGGAUAACUACUGGAAACGGUAGCUAAUACCGCAUAAUGUCGCAGGACCAAAGAGGGGGACCUUCGGGCCUCUUGCCAUCAGAUGUGCCCAGAUGGGAUUAGCUUGUUGGUGAGGUAACGGCUCACCAAGGCGACGAUCCCUAGCUGGUCUGAGAGGAUGACCAGCCACACUGGAACUGAGACACGGUCCAGACUCCGUACGGGAGGCAGCAGUGGGGAAUAUUGCACAAUGGGCGCAAGCCUGAUGCAGCCAUGCCGCGUGUAUG